GAUUUCUGGUGUGGUGCGGGUGGCCCGCCGCCGUCAGGCGCGUGAGUGCCGCCGUUGCGCCUACCAUCCUUCCGGAGAGCCGCCCCUGCCCUUCACUGGGCCGGGGGUGUCUUGCGAUCCGGAUCGUUUACUUUGAAAAAAUUAGAGUGUUUAAAGCAGGCAGUUUGCCGUGAAUACAUUAGCAUGGAAUAAUGAGAUAGGACUUUGGUUCUAUUUUGUUGGUUUCUAGGACUGAAGUAAUGAUUGAUAGGGACAGUUGGGGGUGCUAGUAUUUAACGGCCAGAGGUGAAAUUCAUGGAUUCGUUAAAGACUAACUAAUGCGAAAGCAUU
This 330-nucleotide ribosomal RNA is filed under the name Protaspa sp. RNAcentral describes it as "SSU rRNA". The stretch from base 108 to 330 matches the Rfam family "Eukaryotic small subunit ribosomal RNA", at positions 732 to 955 of the family's 1831-position model. The record is from RNAcentral. Lineage: Eukaryota; Cercozoa; Thecofilosea; Cryomonadida; Protaspidae.